This 301-nucleotide ribosomal RNA is filed under the name uncultured bacterium. Its description in RNAcentral is "partial 16S ribosomal RNA". It matches the Rfam family "Bacterial small subunit ribosomal RNA", at positions 509 to 807 of the family's 1533-position model. The record is from RNAcentral.
CAGUAGCCGCGGGAAAACGAGGGGUGCAAGCGUUAUUCGGAUUGAUUGGGUGUAAAGGGUGUGCAGACGGCUUAUUAAGUCACUUGUUAAAUUCCUCGGCCUAACUGAAGGUCUGCAAGUGAUACUGAUGAGCUAGAGGGUGGAAGAGAGAAGUGGAAUUCUCGGAGUAGCGGUAAAAUGCGUAGAUCUCGAGAGGAACACCAAUGGCGAAGGCAGCUUCUUGGUCCAUUCCUGACGUUCAUACACGAAAGCGUGGGGAGCAAACAGGAUUAGAUACCCCGGUAGUCCCUGUCUCUUAUAC